Molecule: ribosomal RNA, 498 nt
Filed under: uncultured bacterium
Lineage: Bacteria
Description: partial 16S ribosomal RNA
Rfam family: Bacterial small subunit ribosomal RNA
Source: RNAcentral
AUUGAACGCUGGCGGCAUGCUUUACACAUGCAAGUCGAACGGUAACAGGCCGCAAGGUGCUGACGAGUGGCGAACGGGAGAGUAAUGCAUCGGAACGUGCCCAGUCGUGGGGGAUAACGCAGCGAAAGCUGCGCUAAUACCGCAUACGAUCUCUGGAUGAAAGCGGGGGACCGAAAGGCCUCGCGCGAUUGGAGCGGCCGAUGUCAGAUUAGGUAGUUGGUGGGGUAAAGGCCCACCAAGCCAACGAUCUGUAGCUGGUCUGAGAGGACGACCAGCCACACUGGGACUGAGACACGGCCCAGACUCCUACGGGAGGCAGCAGUGGGGAAUUUUGGACAAUGGGCGCAAGCCUGAUCCAGCAAUGCCGCGUGCAGGAAGAAGGCCUUCGGGUUGUAAACUGCUUUUGUACGGAACGAAACGGUCCGGGCUAAUACCCUGGGCUAAUGACGGUACCGUAAGAAUAAGCACCGGCUAACUACGUGCCAGCCGCCGCAGUAA